UUCGGACUCCAGGACCCCUUCGCGCUCAGGCGCUCCGACCGCGACCCCCAGGUUCAGGCGG
This 61-nucleotide ribosomal RNA is filed under the name Capsicum annuum. RNAcentral describes it as "partial 28S ribosomal RNA". Lineage: Eukaryota; Viridiplantae; Streptophyta; Magnoliopsida; Solanales; Solanaceae. The record is from RNAcentral.